RNAcentral lists this transfer RNA (86 nucleotides) under Chloroflexota bacterium. RNAcentral's name for it is "tRNA-Asn". Lineage: Bacteria; Bacillati; Chloroflexota. The record is from RNAcentral.
AUGGCGGUGAUGCCGUUGGCGGAAUGUGCGCCGUUGUUGUUGGCGCCGGAGAGGAUUGCGCCGACGUUCGACACGUUGCUGUGAUA